UGAAGUGUAGCUUAAUGGUAUAGUGCUUGCCUGGCAUGUGUGAAGCCCUAGGUUCAAACCCCCGGCACUGCAA
Molecule: transfer RNA, 73 nt
Filed under: Ictidomys tridecemlineatus (thirteen-lined ground squirrel)
Lineage: Eukaryota; Metazoa; Chordata; Mammalia; Rodentia; Sciuridae
Description: Spermophilus tridecemlineatus (thirteen-lined ground squirrel) tRNA
Rfam family: tRNA
About the family: Transfer RNA (tRNA) molecules are approximately 80 nucleotides in length. Their secondary structure includes four short double-helical elements and three loops (D, anti-codon, and T loops).
Source: Rfam by way of RNAcentral